This 1345-nucleotide ribosomal RNA is filed under the name uncultured bacterium. Its description in RNAcentral is "bacterial SSU rRNA". It matches the Rfam family "Bacterial small subunit ribosomal RNA", at positions 28 to 1381 of the family's 1533-position model. The record is from RNAcentral.
GACGAACGCUGGCGGCGUGCUUAACACAUGCAAGUCGAACGAUGAAGCUUGGUGCUUGCACUGGGUGGAUUAGUGGCGAACGGGUGAGUAACACGUGAGUAACCUGCCCUUUACUUCGGGAUAAGCUUGGGAAACUGGGUCUAAUACCGGAUAUUCUGCGUGAUCGGAUGGUUGUGUAGGAAAGAUUUUUUGGUAAGGGAUGGGCUCGCGGCCUAUCAGUUUGUUGGUGGGGUGAUGGCCUACCAAGACGACGACGGGUAGCCGGCCUGAGAGGGCGACCGGCCACACUGGGACUGAGACACGGCCCAGACUCCUACGGGAGGCAGCAGUGGGGAAUAUUGCACAAUGGGGGAAACCCUGAUGCAGCGACGCCGCGUGGGGGAUGACGGCCUUCGGGUUGUAAACCUCUUUCAGUAGGGAAGAAGCGAAAGUGACGGUACCUGCAGAAGAAGUACCGGCUAACUACGUGCCAGCAGCCGCGGUAAUACGUAGGGUACUAGCGUUGUCCGGAAUUAUUGGGCGUAAAGAGCUCGUAAGUGGUUUGUCCCGUCUGCUGUGGAAACGUGCCGCUUAACGGUGCGCGUGCAGUGGGUACGGGCGGACUAGAGUGCAGUAGGGGAGUCUGGAAUUCCUGGUGUAGCGGUGAAAAGCGCAGAUAUCAGGAGGAACACCGGUGGGCGAAGGCGGGACUCUGGGCUGUUACUGACGCUGAGGAGCGAAAGCAGGGGGAGCGAACAGGAUUAGAUACCCUGGUAGUCCAUGCCGUAAACGUUGGGCACUAGGUGUGGGGUCCAUUCCACGGAUUCUGCGCCGUAGCUAACGCAUUAAGUGCCCCGCCUGGGGAGUACGGCCGCAAGGCUAAAACUCAAAGGAAUUGACGGGGGCCCGCACAAGCGGCGGAGCAUGCGGAUUAAUUCGAUGCAACGCGAAGAACCUUACCAAGGCUUGACAUGCACUAGACGAUUGCAGAGAUGUGGUUUUCUUUUUGACUGGUGUACAGGUGGUGCAUGGUUGUCGUCAGCUCGUGUCGUGAGAUGUUGGGUUAAGUCCCGCAACGAGCGCAACCCUCGUUCUAUGUUGCCAGCACGUGAUGGUGGGAACUCAUGGGAGACUGCCGGGGUCAACUCGGAGGAAGGUGGGGAUGACGUCAAAUCAUCAUGCCCUUUAUGUCUUGGGCUUCACGCAUGCUACAAUGGCCGGUACAGAGGGUGGCGAUACCGUGAGGUGGAGCGAAUCUCUUAAAGCCGGUCUCAGUUCGGAUCGUAGUCUGCAACUCGACUACGUGAAGUCGGAGUCGCUAGUAAUCGCAGAUCAGCAAUGCUGCGGUGAAUACGUUCCCGGGCCU